CUUACGGUAUGCUAAGUGACCACUGGACCCCAAAAAAUACUGACGGGUGAAUACACAGGGGUGAGGGGGUUGGAAGGACAUUGAAGGACCAGGAUCUCAGUGAGGCCCCAAGAAUGCUCACAGGAGGGGCCUCGGAUCCUGACUGCGGAGGGAGGGGCCAAGGAAGGAUUCCUGGAAGAAGGAGGACCUAAGCUGAGUGUUUCUAUUUUUAAUUUUUACUGGUUUCCUAAAACAUAAAAGU
This is a non-coding RNA of Procavia capensis (Cape rock hyrax), 241 nucleotides long. The record is from Rfam. NCBI's taxonomy places the organism in Eukaryota, Metazoa, Chordata, Mammalia, Hyracoidea, Procaviidae.